UGUCUAAUACUUCAUAAUAUCCAUCUCGUAUGGAUUAAAGCUUUAUGCGCUUUGGGAGGGGCCUGCGUAACAUUAGCUUGUUGGUGAGGUAAAAGCUCACCAAGGCUUCGAUGUUUAACUGGUUUGAGAGGAUGACCAGUCACACUGGGACUGAGAUACGGCCCAGACUCCUACGGGAGGCAGCAGUAAGGAAUCUUCCACAAUGGGGGCAACCCUGAUGGAGCAAUACCGCGUGCAGGAUGAAGCGUUUCGGCGUGUAAAACUGCUUUUAUCACCGAAGAUUAUGACUGUAGGUGAAGAAUAAGGACCGGCUAACUACGUGC
RNAcentral lists this ribosomal RNA (323 nucleotides) under uncultured bacterium. Its description in RNAcentral is "bacterial SSU rRNA". It matches the Rfam family "Bacterial small subunit ribosomal RNA", at positions 160 to 508 of the family's 1533-position model. The record is from RNAcentral.